This 26-nucleotide non-coding RNA is filed under the name Homo sapiens (human). The record is from RNAcentral. Lineage: Eukaryota; Metazoa; Chordata; Mammalia; Primates; Hominidae.
UCAGAUGAGGUAAGGUUACAUAGGUA